RNAcentral lists this ribosomal RNA (465 nucleotides) under Vreelandella stevensii. RNAcentral's name for it is "partial 16S ribosomal RNA". It matches the Rfam family "Bacterial small subunit ribosomal RNA", at positions 338 to 795 of the family's 1533-position model. Lineage: Bacteria; Pseudomonadati; Pseudomonadota; Gammaproteobacteria; Oceanospirillales; Halomonadaceae. The record is from RNAcentral.
CCUACGGGCUGCAGCAGUGGGGAAUAUUGGACAAUGGGCGAAAGCCUGAUCCAGCCAUGCCGCGUGUGUGAAGAAGGCCUUCGGGUUGUAAAGCACUUUCAGUGGGGAAGAAAGCCUUGGGGCUAAUACCCUCGAGGAAGGACAUCACCCACAGAAGAAGCACCGGCUAACUCCGUGCCAGCAGCCGCGGUAAUACGGAGGGUGCGAGCGUUAAUCGGAAUUACUGGGCGUAAAGCGCGCGUAGGCGGUCUGAUAAGCCGGUUGUGAAAGCCCCGGGCUCAACCUGGGAACGGCAUCCGGAACUGUCAGGCUAGAGUGCAGGAGAGGAAGGUAGAAUUCCCGGUGUAGCGGUGAAAUGCGUAGAGAUCGGGAGGAAUACCAGUGGCGAAGGCGGCCUUCUGGACUGACACUGACGCUGAGGUGCGAAAGCGUGGGUAGCAAACAGGAUUAGAUACCCCGGUAGUC